GGUUUUGAAAAAAACUGACCUAAGACAGUAGGGGAGCAGUGCUCAUAAGAUUCCUACCGAGGCACAAAACGAUAUUCUGAAAUAACGUAUUUGUACUUUCGUGUCUGGGUUUAGGUGCGAUUUUUUUGUGCCUAA
Molecule: non-coding RNA, 135 nt
Organism: Streptococcus uberis
Lineage: Bacteria; Bacillati; Bacillota; Bacilli; Lactobacillales; Streptococcaceae
Source: Rfam